UGGCCAUUUAGGUUUAAAUUUCAAAUAAACAAUAAAAAAUACUUAGUAUAAGUAUAUCCUUUGCAAUAUUUGGGAUAUACUUAUACUAAAAAUUCAUUGUUUAUCUGAAAUUCAAAUUUUACUGGGUGUC
Molecule: microRNA precursor, 130 nt
Filed under: Vicugna pacos (alpaca)
Lineage: Eukaryota; Metazoa; Chordata; Mammalia; Artiodactyla; Camelidae
Description: miRNA (ENSVPAG00000018108.1)
Rfam family: mir-1302 microRNA precursor family (bases 40-91)
Source: RNAcentral